UCAAGCUACAAAGGGCGCAAGGGGAAUGCCUUGGCACCAGGAGCCGACGAAGGACGCAGCGAUCUGCGAAAAGCCACGGUGAGCCGAAAGCAGGCAUCGACCCGUGGAUUUCCGAAUGGGGAAACCCGGCAGAUGAAGAAUCUGUCAACCUGUGCUGAAUAAAAUAGGCACAGGUGGGGAACCGCCUGAACUGAAACAUCUAAGUAGGGCGAGGAAGAGAAAUCAACCGAGAUUCCGUAAGUAGUGGCGAGCGAACGCGGAAGAGGCUAAACCGAGAGUAGCAAUAUUCUCGGGGUUUUGGACAGUAAACGGCAUUGCGGUAUCUUAGCAGAAGUGCAUGGGACGGCACACCAUAGAAAGUGACAGUCUUGUAUGCGAAAAGAGAAGGCAGCCAACUGUAUCCGGAGUACCGCCGGACACGUGAAACCCGGUGGGAAGACGGGGGGACCAUCCUCCAAGCCUAAAUACUCCCUGGUGACCGAUAGCGCAAAGUACUGUGAAGGAAAGGUGAAAAGAACCCCGGGAGGGGAGUGAAAAGAACCUGAAACCUUGUGCCUACAAGCACCGAAAGCCCGUCAAUGGGUGAUCGGGUACCUUUUGUAGAAUGGUCCGGCGAGUGAAUGUAACCGGCAAGGUUAAGGACUUAAGGUCCGGAGCCGAAGCGAAAGCAAGUCUGAAUAGGGCGUCAAGUCGGUUGUAUUCGACCCGAAACCGGGUGACCUACCCAUGAGCAGGCUGAAGUGGAGGUAAAACUCCAUGGAGGGCCGAACCCACUCCCGUUGAAAUGGUAGGGGAUGACUUGUGGGUAGCGGAGAAAUUCCAAUCGAACCCGGAGAUAGCUGGUUCUCUCCGAAAUAGCUUUAGGGCUAGCCUCGACCGAACAUUACCGGAGGUAAAGCACUGAAUGAGCUAGGGGCCGAGAGGUUACUGAACUCUAUCAAACUCAGAAUGCCGGAUAAUGAUGGUCGGGAGUCAGACAGUGUGAGAUAAGUUUCAUUGUCGAAAGGGAAACAGCCCAGACCCACAGCUAAGGUCCCAAAGUACGGUUAAGUGGAAAAGGAUGUGGGAUUGCACAGACAACCAGGAUGUUGGCUUAGAAGCAGCCACGCAUUAAAAGAGUGCGUAAUAGCUCACUGGUCGAGUGAUCCUGCGCCGAAAAUUUAACGGGGCUAAAUCGUACACCGAAGCUUGGGAUUCUAGAUGUUAGACAGUAGACACUAGAAGCUGGAUGAGCAGGAGGUAGCAAGGCGUGCAACAGGAAGCGAGCGGAUAUCGCAAUCUGCAAGUGUAUGAAAGAUCAUACAAAGCCAUUGGCGGUAUAUGCAAUGACAAAAAGUUAUCCCGAAGAAGAAAAGUACGGGUUAACGAGUCAAAUGCGGCGCGCGUGCACGUCGAUACCACUGAACAUCGCGGAAGGUUAUGCAAAGCGAAGCAGCCAGGAGGAAUUCAAACGAUUCCUCUUGAUGGCUGUCGGCUCAGCAAACGAGAUGAGCGUUUUGCUGGAUUUUGCAAAGGACUUAGGGUAUACAUCUGAGAGCACCUAUGCAGAACUCAGCAGAGCAUAUGAUGAAAUCGGAAGAAUGCUGAGCAGCUUUAUCAAGCGCAUACAAGUAGGAUAAAGCAUAAUCUAGAAUCUAGUAUCUAGCGUCUAGCAUCUAGAAUGGUAGGAGAGCGUCGUGUAAGGGGUGAAGUCAGAGCGCAAGCGCUGGUGGACUUUACACGAGUGAGAAUGCCGGAAUGAGUAGCGAGAUUUAUGUGAGAAUCAUAAAGGCCGAAAGACUAAGGUUUUAGAAGGAAGGUUCGUCCGCUUCUAGUUAGCCGGGAGCUAAGGCGAGGCCGAAAGGCGUAGUCGAUGCACAUACGGUGGAGAUUCCGUAGCCGCCACCCCUUUAAGCAGAGGGACACUUUUGAAGGGCAUGAGCCGGGCGUUGGUAGACCCGGUCGAAAGGGACCGAAAUUAGAGUAGGGAAGCAUGCUUGGAAGAAGGCGAGAAAAGCUCUGUGUAUAGAAGGUGGCGCCCGUACCGCAAACCGACACAGGUAGUCAGGAAGAGGAUUCUAAGGCCAACGGGAGAAGGGUAGUUAAGGAACUCGGCAAAUUGACCCCGUAACUUCGGAAUAAGGGGUGCUCACGAGAGUGAGCCGCAGUGAAUAGGUCCAGGCGACUGUUUAUCAAAAACACAGCUCUCUGCUAAAUCGAAAGAUGAUGUAUAGGGGGUGACACCUGCCCGGUGCCGGAAGGUUAAGAGGAAGGGUGCAAGCUCUGAAUUGAAGCCCCGGUAAACGGCGGCCGUAACUAUAACGGUCCUAAGGUAGCGAAAUUCCUUGUCGGGU
This 2333-nucleotide ribosomal RNA is filed under the name metagenome. RNAcentral's name for it is "bacterial LSU rRNA". It matches the Rfam family "Bacterial large subunit ribosomal RNA", at positions 3 to 1977 of the family's 2925-position model. The record is from RNAcentral.